CAACCCCUCAGGCCCUGGUGCCUGGCGUCGGGGCGUUCCCUCGCGGGAAGCCCCCAGAGACAGUGGCGGACCAGUCGCGGCUCCGAGCGCAGUAGUAACAUUCUCGCUUAGGAGGUCUGCGGCGGGCUCCCGGCCGUAAAACCCGGACCCCUCACAGGGCCGACUUCUCAA
Molecule: unclassified non-coding RNA, 171 nt
Filed under: uncultured Halosphaeriaceae
Lineage: Eukaryota; Fungi; Ascomycota; Sordariomycetes; Microascales; Halosphaeriaceae
Also listed under: 1 other name
Description: sequence contains ITS2
Source: RNAcentral